GUGCUCACUUCAACAGCACAUGUACUAAAAUAGGGACUUUGCAGCGAAGUGUAUCACAGCCACCAUGCCAAGAGGUCAUGCAAAUUCGUGAAGUGUUUCAUGUUUUU
This is a small nuclear RNA of Vulpes vulpes (red fox), 107 nucleotides long. NCBI's taxonomy places the organism in Eukaryota, Metazoa, Chordata, Mammalia, Carnivora, Canidae. The record is from Ensembl.